This 431-nucleotide ribosomal RNA is filed under the name uncultured bacterium. RNAcentral's name for it is "partial 16S ribosomal RNA". It matches the Rfam family "Bacterial small subunit ribosomal RNA", at positions 29 to 507 of the family's 1533-position model. The record is from RNAcentral.
AACGAACGCUGGCGGCAGGCUUAACACAUGCAAGUCGAGCGCCCCGCAAGGGGAGCGGCAGACGGGUGAGUAACGCGUGGGAACGUACCUUUUGGUUCGGAACAACUCCGGGAAACUGGAGCUAAUACCGGAUAAGCCCUAACGGGGAAAGAUUUAUCGCCGAAAGAUCGGCCCGCGUCUGAUUAGCUAGUUGGUGAGGUAACGGCACACCAAGGCGACGAUCAGUAGCUGGUCUGAGAGGAUGAUCAGCCACACUGGGACUGAGACACGGCCCAGACUCCUACGGGAGGCAGCAGUGGGGAAUAUUGGACAAGGGGCGCAAGCCUGAUCCAGCCAUGCCGCGUGAGUGAUGAAGGCCUUAGGAUUGUAAAGCUCUUUUGUCCGGGAAGAUAAUGACUGUACCGGAAGAAUAAGCCCCGGCUAACUUCGUG